UACGAAGGGUGCAAGCGUUAAUCGGAAUUACUGGGCGUAAAGGGCGCGCAGGCGGCUCGUUAAGUUGGGCGUGAAAUCCCCUGGCUCAACUGGGGGAGGCCGUCCAAUACUGGGGGGCUUGAGUGCAGGAGAGGGAAGUGGAAUUCCCGGUGUAGCGGUGAAAUGCGUAGAUAUCGGGAAGAACACCAGUGGCGAAGGCGGCUUCCUGGACUGUAACUGACGCUGAGGCGCGAAAGCUGGGGGAGCGAACAGGAUUAGAUACCCGGGUAGUCC
Molecule: ribosomal RNA, 273 nt
Filed under: uncultured bacterium
Lineage: Bacteria
Description: partial 16S ribosomal RNA
Rfam family: Bacterial small subunit ribosomal RNA
Source: RNAcentral